GACGAACGCUGGCGGCGUGCCUAAUACAUGCAAGUCGAACGCUGAAGGAGGAGCUUGCUUCUCUGGAUGAGUUGCGAACGGGUGAGUAACGCGUAGGUAACCUGCCUGGUAGCGGGGGAUAACUAUUGGAAACGAUAGCUAAUACCGCAUAAUAGUAGAUGUUGCAUGACAUUUGCUUAAAAGGUGCAAUUGCAUCACUACCAGAUGGACCUGCGUUGUAUUAGCUAGUUGGUGAGGUAACGGCUCACCAAGGCGACGAUACAUAGCCGACCUGAGAGGGUGGUCGGCCACACUGGGACUGAGACACGGCCCAGACUCCUACGGGAGGCAGCAGUAGGGAAUCUUCGGCAAUGGACGGAAGUCUGACCGAGCAACGCCGCGUGAGUGAAGAAGGUUUUCGGAUCGUAAAGCUCUGUUGUAAGAGAAGAACGAGUGUGAGAGUGGAAAGUUCACACUGUGACGGUAUCUUACCAGAAAGGGACGGCUAACUACGUG
This 495-nucleotide ribosomal RNA is filed under the name uncultured bacterium. Its description in RNAcentral is "partial 16S ribosomal RNA". It matches the Rfam family "Bacterial small subunit ribosomal RNA", at positions 28 to 507 of the family's 1533-position model. The record is from RNAcentral.